RNAcentral lists this ribosomal RNA (276 nucleotides) under Escherichia coli. Its description in RNAcentral is "partial 23S ribosomal RNA". It matches the Rfam family "Bacterial large subunit ribosomal RNA", at positions 1 to 277 of the family's 2925-position model. Lineage: Bacteria; Pseudomonadati; Pseudomonadota; Gammaproteobacteria; Enterobacterales; Enterobacteriaceae. RNAcentral also lists the same sequence under 1 other name. The record is from RNAcentral.
GGUUAAGCGACUAAGCGUACACGGUGGAUGCCCUGGCAGUCAGAGGCGAUGAAGGACGUGCUAAUCUGCGAUAAGCGUCGGUAAGGUGAUAUGAACCGUUAUAACCGGCGAUUUCCGAAUGGGGAAACCCAGUGUGAUUCGUCACACUAUCAUUAACUGAAUCCAUAGGUUAAUGAGGCGAACCGGGGGAACUGAAACAUCUAAGUACCCCGAGGAAAAGAAAUCAACCGAGAUUCCCCCAGUAGCGGCGAGCGAACGGGGAGCAGCCCAGAGCCU